UUAAGCGACUAAGCGUACACGGUGGAUGCCCUGGCAGUCAGAGGCGAUGAAGGACGUGCUAAUCUGCGAAAAGCGUCGGUAAGGUGAUAUGAACCGUUAUAACCGGCGAUGUCCGAAUGGGGAAACCCAGUGUGAUUCGUCACACUAUCGUUAACUGAAUACAUAGGUUAACGAGGCGAACCGGGGGAACUGAAACAUCUAAGUACCCCGAGGAAAAGAAAUCAACCGAGAUUCCCCCAGUAGCGGCGAGCGAACGGGGAGCAGCCCAGAGUCUGAAUCAGCUUGUGUGUUAGUGGAACGGUCUGGAAAGUCCGACGGUACAGGGUGAUAGUCCCGUACACCAAAAUGCACAGGUUGUGAACUCGAAGAGUAGGGCGGGACACGUGGUAUCCUGUCUGAAUAUGGGGGGACCAUCCUCCAAGGCUAAAUACUCCUGACUGACCGAUAGUGAACCAGUACCGUGAGGGAAAGGCGAAAAGAACCCCGGCGAGGGGAGUGAAAAAGAACCUGAAACCGUGUACGUACAAGCAGUGGGAGCACCUUCGGGUGUGACUGCGUACCUUUUGUAUAAUGGGUCAGCGACUUAUAUUCUGUAGCAAGGUUAACCGUAUAGGGGAGCCGCAGGGAAACCGAGUCUUAACUGGGCGUUAAGUUGCAGGGUAUAGACCCGAAACCCGGUGAUCUAGCCAUGGGCAGGUUGAAGGUUGGGUAACACUAACUGGAGGACCGAACCGACUAAUGUUGAAAAAUUAGCGGAUGACUUGUGGCUGGGGGUGAAAGGCCAAUCAAACCGGGAGAUAGCUGGUUCUCCCCGAAAGCUAUUUAGGUAGCGCCUCGUGAAUUCAUCUUCGGGGGUAGAGCACUGUUUCGGCUAGGGGGUCAUCCCGACUUACCAACCCGAUGCAAACUACGAAUACCGAAGAAUGUUAUCACGGGAGACACACGGCGGGUGCUAACGUCCGUCGUGAAGAGGGAAACAACCCAGACCGCCAGCUAAGGUCCCAAAGUCAUGGUUAAGUGGGAAACGAUGUGGGAAGGCACAGACAGCCAGGAUGUUGGCUUAGAAGCAGCCAUCAUUUAAAGAAAGCGUAAUAGCUCACUGGUCGAGUCGGCCUGCGCGGAAGAUGUAACGGGGCUAAACCAUGCACCGAAGCUGCGGCAGCGACACUAUGUGUUGUUGGGUAGGGGAGCGUUCUGUAAGCCUGCGAAGGUGACCUGUGAGGGUUGCUGGAGGUAUCAGAAGUGCGAAUGCUGACAUAAGUAACGAUAAAGCGGGUGAAAAGCCCGCUCGCCGGAAGACCAAGGGUUCCUGUCCAACGUUAAUCGGGGCAGGGUGAGUCGACCCCUAAGGCGAGGCCGAAAGGCGUAGUCGAUGGGAAACAGGUUAAUAUUCCUGUACUUGGUGUUACUGCGAAGGGGGGACGGAGAAGGCUAUGUUAGCCGGGCGACGGUUGUCCCGGUUUAAGCAUGUAGGCUGGUUGUCCAGGCAAAUCCGGAUAAUCAAGGCUGAGGUGUGAUGACGAGGCACUACGGUGCUGAAGUAACAAAUGCCCUGCUUCCAGGAAAAGCCUCUAAGCAUCAGGUAACAUCAAAUCGUACCCCAAACCGACACAGGUGGUCAGGUAGAGAAUACCAAGGCGCUUGAGAGAACUCGGGUGAAGGAACUAGGCAAAAUGGUGCCGUAACUUCGGGAGAAGGCACGCUGGUGUGUAGGUGAAGUCCCUGCGGAUGGAGCUGAGACCAGUCGAAGAUACCAGCUGGCUGCAACUGUUUAUUAAAAACACAGCACUGUGCAAACACGAAAGUGGACGUAUACGGUGUGACGCCUGCCCGGUGCCGGAAGGUUAAUUGAUGGGGUUAUCCGUAAGGAGAAGCUCUUGAUCGAAGCCCCGGUAAACGGCGGCCGUAACUAUAACGGUCCUAAGGUAGCGAAAUUCCUUGUCGGGUAAGUUCCGACCUGCACGAAUGGCGUAAUGAUGGCCAGGCUGUCUCCACCCGAGACUCAGUGAAAUUGAACUCGCUGUGAAGAUGCAGUGUACCCGCGGCAAGACGGAAAGACCCCGUGAACCUUUACUAUAGCUUGACACUGAACAUUGAGCCUUGAUGUGUAGGAUAGGUGGGAGGCUUUGAAGCGUGGACGCCAGUCUGCGUGGAGCCAACCUUGAAAUACCACCCUUUAAUGUUUGAUGUUCUAACGUUGGCCCCUUACCGGGGUUGCGGACAGUGUCUGGUGGGUAGUUUGACUGGGGCGGUCUCCUCCCAAAGCGUAACGGAGGAGCACGAAGGUUAGCUAAUCCUGGUCGGACAUCAGGAGGUUAGUGCAAUGGCAUAAGCUAGCUUGACUGCGAGCGUGACGGCGCGAGCAGGUGCGAAAGCAGGUCAUAGUGAUCCGGUGGUUCUGAAUGGAAGGGCCAUCGCUCAACGGAUAAAAGGUACUCCGGGGAUAACAGGCUGAUACCGCCCAAGAGUUCAUAUCGACGGCGGUGUUUGGCACCUCGAUGUCGGCUCAUCACAUCCUGGGGCUGAAGUAGGUCCCAAGGGUAUGGCUGUUCGCCAUUUAAAGUGGUACGCGAGCUGGGUUUAGAACGUCGUGAGACAGUUCGGUCCCUAUCUGCCGUGGGCGCUGGAGAAUUGAGGGGGGCUGCUCCUAGUACGAGAGGACCGGAGUGGACGCAUCACUGGUGUUCGGGUUGUCAUGCCAAUGGCACUGCCCGGUAGCUAAAUGCGGAAGAGAUAAGUGCUGAAAGCAUCUAAGCACGAAACUUGCCCCGAGAUGAGUUCUCCCUGAGACUUUAAGUCUCCUGAAGGAACGUUAAAGACGAUGACGUUGAUAGGCCGGGUGUGUAAGCGCAGCGAUGCGUUGAGCUAACCGGUACUAAUGAACCGUGAGGCUUAACCUU
RNAcentral lists this ribosomal RNA (2900 nucleotides) under Klebsiella aerogenes. Its description in RNAcentral is "bacterial LSU rRNA". It matches the Rfam family "Bacterial large subunit ribosomal RNA". The record is from RNAcentral. Lineage: Bacteria; Pseudomonadati; Pseudomonadota; Gammaproteobacteria; Enterobacterales; Enterobacteriaceae. RNAcentral also lists the same sequence under 1 other name.